RNAcentral lists this unclassified non-coding RNA (278 nucleotides) under uncultured fungus. Its description in RNAcentral is "partial contains 18S rRNA, ITS1, 5.8S rRNA, ITS2 and 28S rRNA". The record is from RNAcentral. Lineage: Eukaryota; Fungi.
AGGGAUCAUUAAAGUUAUUCCAACUUAACCCUUGUGAACUCGUUUCUAACCACCGUGGGACCAUUAUGGACAAGUCUAUGAGCGGGGAUAAGACUGAGGAGUGAGGUGCACUCCUAGUUCGCUCCUUGUCUGCCUUCUUGGAGGCUAAAUGAUCUUGCGCUUCUUCCCACUUUUUAUCAUUUACCCUUUGUAUAAUUAUGAAUACCCGAGUAUGGCCUAACAGCCUACUUGAUUAAGAAAUUUUUGUGCAACUCUUAGCAACGGAUAUCUUGGCUCCU